Parus major (Great Tit) is the source of this 1410-nucleotide long non-coding RNA. RefSeq lists it as uncharacterized. Lineage: Eukaryota; Metazoa; Chordata; Aves; Passeriformes; Paridae. The transcript has 3 exons. The record is from RefSeq and is a predicted model, not a curated record.
GUUAUAACCCUUCAGCUCAGCCUGUGUCCCUCCCAUUCCAGCAGCACUGCUGACCUCUUGGUCAGUCCCAGCUGAGCUAUCCGUGCUCACCCAACACCACAUUACAGACCUGUCCCAAGUUAAAGUGCUGCCUCGAACCCUUUAGACCUGGAAUUUCCAUUCCUGUCCCAGAGAUUUCCCCAUGUGGUGGGGCAGCACCGUGUCCACAAUGGGGGGGUAUCCACACCAGGAAGCUUCAGAUAUCUGAUUUCUCUGCCUGAAUUAACCAGCUCAUUCCCCUGGGCUUCCUCCACGGUGGAAGAAGAGGCUCUGGCAGUGGGUGACUGCAGGGUGAGAGCCUGCAUCCAGCUGUGCCUGCUGGAACAGCCACUCUCCCUGCCCUCAGGCCAGAGAAUCCUGGAGAAUCCUGUGGCAGCAGCUGGGCAGCACAGCCAGGUAUAAAUCAGAGGACUGGAGAUGGGUGGCUUAAGCAAUCCAGCAAAGUUUUACAGCAGUGCCCAUAUGCCAGGUACAGACAGCACUAAGUACAGCCCCUCUUUUCUAGUGAAGAAAAAGAAUCUUUCUGGAUGUGUUUGCUGCAGCUUGUGUAAAAGUCAAAUUUGGUCCAGUAUCCUGACUGCUGAUAAGGGCCAUGACUGAGCACAACCAUCUUCAAUGGACUGAACGUUGCAAAAGGAAGUCACCUUCCCCCACCCCAUUUUACAGAAAAAAAAGGGAACUGGGAGCCCAAAGCAGAGUUAAUUAACAACUGCACUGGACUGGCUUUGUGAUUCACAACCAGGCUAGAGGAAAGCUACAAGCAGAGAUUGUGGGAGGAAAAAGGACUGUUUUUCCUCGAAACUCCAGAUUAUCUGUAGCAAGAGAUCAGCUGCUCCUAGUGGCUCACUGUAUUUCCCAGGAAAAGCAGUGCUGUGGACAAUGGACCCUGCAUCCUGCUAUGUCUUAGAGUUAUUGAAGCUUCUGACAGAAUUUAGCUUCGAUCUUUUGCUGAAAAUUAAACUUUCAUUUUUUUGGAGUCUGUUCAUUUCAGCCCCUGUGGCAGCAGUUUCUACCUGGACUGGGAUUCCUGUGGAGCAAAAAGCUGCAGGAUGGGAGUGCAGUUGUCUUGGCUUGUUGUGUUUUACUCUUCCCUGGAUUUCUGUCUAUGGCUUUUGUUCAUCUCUCCACUGAAAUCACCAUCAAAAGGCUCAGCACGGAAGGGAGAGCCACACAGAGCUUAUCUGGGUUCCCAGAGACUUGUCCUGGCCGUGACCCACACAGGCCACCAGGAAUUUAGAGAGCCCUGCUUGCACACAAGGACAGUUUAAUUUUGUGUGCUGCUGUGAGUGGUUACUACAUGUCACAUGCUCCAGUGUGUCCGAAGUAAAUAGAUUUUUAAAUGUUCGGCUCAGUAAUAAUAAACAGGUUAAU